UUCGCAAUGCCCGAAAGGGUGACGAAGCGACGCCGCGUGGGCGAAGAAGGCCUUCGGGUUGUAAAACCCUGUCAGGAGUUAUGAAAUGUAAGUGCGCUAAUAUCGUGCUUAUUUGACAAAGGCUCCAAAGGAAGCCACGGCUAACUCUGUGCCAGCAGCCGCGGUAAUACAGAGGUGGCGAGCGUUGUUCGGAAUUAUUGGGCGUAAAGAGCACGUAGGUGGGUCUGCAAGUCAGAUGUGAAAGCCUUCUGUUCAACGGAAGAAUUGCAUCUGAAACUGCUAAUCUUGAGUAUAGGAGGGGAGAAUGGAACUUCUGGUGGAGCGGUGAAAUGCGUAGAUAUCAGAAGGAACGCCGGCGGCGAAAGCGAUUCUCUGGCCUAUUACUGACACUCAGUGUGCGAAAACUAGGGGAGCAAACGGGAUUAGAUACCCCGGUAGUCCUAGCCGUAAACGAUGGGCACUAAGUAGA
This 469-nucleotide ribosomal RNA is filed under the name uncultured bacterium. Its description in RNAcentral is "bacterial SSU rRNA". It matches the Rfam family "Bacterial small subunit ribosomal RNA", at positions 365 to 824 of the family's 1533-position model. The record is from RNAcentral.